RNAcentral lists this ribosomal RNA (253 nucleotides) under uncultured bacterium. RNAcentral's name for it is "partial 16S ribosomal RNA". It matches the Rfam family "Bacterial small subunit ribosomal RNA", at positions 524 to 776 of the family's 1533-position model. The record is from RNAcentral.
UACGUAGGGGGCUAGCGUUGUCCGGAAUCAUUGGGCGUAAAGAGCGUGUAGGCUGCUCGGUAAGUCCGCUGUAAAAGUCAAAGGCUCAACCUUUGAAUGUCAGUGGAUACUGCCGGGCUAGAGUCCGGAAGAGGCGAGUGGAACUCCAGGUGUAGCGGUGAAAUGCGUAGAUAUCUGGAGGAACACCGGUGGCGAAGGCGACAUCCUGGACCGGCAUUGACGCUGAGGCGCGAAAGCCAGGGGAGCAAACGGG